RNAcentral lists this transfer RNA (74 nucleotides) under Phrynosoma platyrhinos (Desert horned lizard). RNAcentral's name for it is "tRNA-OTHER". Lineage: Eukaryota; Metazoa; Chordata; Lepidosauria; Squamata; Phrynosomatidae. The record is from RNAcentral.
GCCAGCGUGGCAUAGUGGUUUGUUGAGCAUUGAACUAUGACUCUGGAGACCAGGGUUCAAUUCCCAGCUUGGCC